This 253-nucleotide ribosomal RNA is filed under the name uncultured bacterium. RNAcentral's name for it is "partial 16S ribosomal RNA". It matches the Rfam family "Bacterial small subunit ribosomal RNA", at positions 524 to 776 of the family's 1533-position model. The record is from RNAcentral.
UACGGAGGGUGCAAGCGUUAUCCGGAUUCACUGGGUUUAAAGGGUGCGUAGGCGGCGCGGAAAGUUGGGUGUGAAAUCCCUCGGCUCAACCGAGGAACUGCGCCCAAAACUACCGUGCUCGAGGGAGAUAGAGGUGAGCGGAACUUAGGGUGGAGCGGUGAAAUGCGUUGAUAUCCUAAGGAACACCGGUGGCGAAGGCGGGUCUCUGGGCCGUAACUGACGCUGAGGAGCGAAAGCGUGGGGAGCGAACAGG